UUGUUACUGCUGUGUCAUUUCAGAGGCUGAAGUUGGUUAGUGCCCAGAGCAAACAUGUUUUCUUGGUUUACAUUUGCGGUCCUCCUCUCUCCUUGUAUAUGCAACAUUGAUGUUACCUGUUGUUGUUUCCUAUGCUACAGAAAUAAAGACUUGCUGAUAGAGCGGAGGCUGUAUCAGCUUACAUUAGCUUGUACCCAUCCGAACAAAUCUUCCUGUUUGCUUUCCGCUCACGUAACGAAGGAGAAAGAAGUCAUUAAUGGGCUUGAUGAAUCUUAUUCACAGUAAGCUAGCUUAACAACGAGCAUCUGGGAACCAUUUUGCCUCCUCUAAACUGUCUUCCUGGGAAGGUUCUACCACAUUAAUAACACUUCAGAGCUUUUAUUUGCAUUUAUAUUAAAUCUGCUGCUGCUGCUGCCUCCCAUUACGACUCCCUGCUGCGUGUGGGUGAAGAUGCACUGUAAGAUGGCACCCUCCUCCUUCUUCCCCAGCUCAGCCACCUCUAUUUUCUGCUGCAGGAUGCUCAGCUGGUGUCGCAGAGCUGGGAAGAGAGCCAGCAGCCUGAUGAGCUCAACCAGCACGCAGCCCUCACACCGCAGCAGUGGGAUGUCUCCCUGCGCUACCGCUCACAACCGCACGGGAGGGUAAUGCCAGGUCCAAGGGUUGAGGGCUGCUAGGAAAAGCAGCUAUGGCAGCGGCUCCUUCUGUAACUUCCUCUUCUCUUUUACAAGGGCCGGAAAAGUCUCUGCAAGGAACAGAGAGAUGGCACAGGCUGCUCCAAGAGAGCCACCUCCUCAGGUCCCAGCACAGCCGAGGAGCUGGCAUGAUCGAGGCAGGACUAGACCAUAACAAAGACAGCUGGGAGUAUAAGGAGAUGCUUAGCUUCAGCUUAUCGCAAGGCACAUGCCACUCACUGGUCCUUAUUCUCCCGCUAGCUUAGAAGACAUUCUCCUCAGGGGCCAACUCCUGCCACAGUGUGCAGGUGGCACUGCUGUUCUUUCAUAGGAUCUCCUACUCUCCUGGAGAGAGAAAAAAAUCAAGGCAGAACAUGCUAGAUCUUUGCCCUUGUGGAAGAUGGUUUAUCUAGAGCCACCCGCUCACUUCUGCUUGCAUUUCCUGCCUCCUGCAAAAUAAAAUCUAAUUUAUUUAAGGAUACUGUUGGCUGUACAACCAAGGUUUGAUUUCAGAUGGCAAAAUCAAGUCUGUCAGGUAGCUUUGCCCUCUUCAACAAUUAUGGUGAUUAUUUGUGUUGGCUCUAAUAGUCUUUCCAGCCAGUAAUGAGAGCCACCAUCCAAUUUUAAAACUCCACAGAUCUGGGUGUUAUUAUCCUUGAGGAAAACUGCCAUGGGCCAUGCUUUAAAGUUCCUCAUUAACCAAAAGAACAACUUUACUGUUUGCUUACAUUUGCAAGCAAACAAGCUGGGUUUCGCACAAAGAGAGUGAACCACAUUACCUUAGUGCUUCUCUCUGAUGGUUUUGCUUUCCUUAGCCUGCAGAAGGGCCCAGGAGCUGAACAACCACAGAAACAAGCCUAUGUAGGAGUAACUGGUGGAGGAAGGGGGGUUAACAUGAAGGAUUUCUGCAAGGUUAAAGGAGCUGCCAAAUGCUGAAGAUGAGGGCUUGAAACAAAACAACACCCCAGAAAUCUACCUUUCAAACCUGAAAUUGUGGCACAUCCAGCUUUUUCACAUUGUUGUUUCUGUGACAGCUCCACACAGAGCUGUGUUAGACCAGCUCACAUACACUGCAGCGUGUACAGAGGUUUUAAGGAGACAUGUGCUGUAUACACAUUUUGCUCAACUACUUUUUCAAACACUGUUUCCAUUCUUUCAAGAAGCAAAAGGUCAUUCUCUUUUUUUUUCCAUGUUUUUUUUUUUUAAAUUUGGAAGCAAGAUCAAACUGAAAAAGAAGGGACUUGGUCUUUGAACUGUUCUAUUUUUACCAUUUUUGGCUGCAGAUAGUUGAACUUGAUCCCAUUACAAGAAAUCUCCUCCCAUUCACUAUUACACAAUUUCCAGUACAUGCACUUCAGGAUGUUCACUACUUUCCCUGUCUGGGCCUCAUACAUCUGGGUGACCUUCCCUCCCAUGCAGACAAGAGAGGAAGAAUGCAACACAGGUGACACAGACUUCAGACAGCAUCAGGAAUUAUAAUCAGAAGGCAGGGAACGGAUACCAAAAUCCUGACAGUGCUAACAUCCAAGCACCUGCUGCUCAGGUCAACCAAGCCUCUUGUAAUCAGAGUCUAAUCAGAAUUUGGCAUUAGUCCUUCUCCUUACCUUUUUUACAGACUUCCCACCUUUCCAGGUAAGGGGCAGCAAAGGGCAGUGGCUCCCCGAAGCAGCACAUUUAGUGGUUUAGUGUGGAAGUGUUUGGAACAACAUCCCCACCUGCCGGGCCUUCUCUUUGUUGCAGCCGGCAAUUUAGCAGUAGUCUGAUAGGAAAAGACCUUCCCUUCAACCCAGCACCACAACUCUGGCUCAGAUUUUAACUUGGUGCUGAGACUGACAUUGGGUUAAAACCCCUUCUGGAUACAGGGGCUGGCAGCGCCCAGAAGCGGUGCCCUCCUAGCGUGGCUGAACCUCAAUGGGAGGCUCAGGGAUAAGCAUGCAAAGGACAACUUUCUCCAUGUGAGAGCUCUUCCUCGGAGACUGGGAGUAGGCAAAACAGGGGAGUCAUCUCCAUUCCAACCUACACUUUUUGAAGGCCUGAGUGUGUCAGAAAGAAGAUUAAAUACAUGUGUCAACAUGAAUCAGGCCAUUUACACAACUGAAUCAUCCUGAAGAGAGGGAUGCCUGGAUCAGAACAGAUCCGUCUUCAUCAAAUGUAGCCUGUCAUAAUAAUCACUAUUAAAAAGGCAAAGAGAGGUGGUGUCUACAGCAAUUAUUUAAUCAAACAACAUAUAAAAACAUUUUACAAUGACUGAAAAACCUGACAGAGGCUGUAAUAAGAACAGAAGCUGCAAGGCUACUCAGGUUUAACAUCCUUCCCUUUGUGGGUACCUACUGUGGGUCCAAAACACUUCUCUAUUCAGAUACAAUACUUUAAAUGGUCCUUGCUAAUAACACAAGUAGCAGAAGCCCUACAUCCUGAAGAAGGCAACAAGACUUAUAUUUGGCUUGGUCUACCCUUCUACAUUAAGAAUGCAAGGCAUGGUGGCUGGAGGGAGAUAAUUAUAAAGACAACGUAUCUCGGAUCCAAGAGAACCUCCAUAGCUCUAGCUGGCCAGUAUCAAGUUCUGCACAGAUACAGAGCUGCUCUGCAAGCCUAACAUUAAAGCACUUGCUGACAGAGGCACAUCUCUGAUGUCUCAUCUCA
Long non-coding RNA from Pezoporus occidentalis (night parrot), 3314 nucleotides. RefSeq lists it as uncharacterized. Lineage: Eukaryota; Metazoa; Chordata; Aves; Psittaciformes; Psittacidae. The record is from RefSeq and is a predicted model, not a curated record. The transcript is spliced from 2 exons.